This 342-nucleotide ribosomal RNA is filed under the name Proteomonas sulcata. Its description in RNAcentral is "partial Bacterial small subunit ribosomal RNA". It matches the Rfam family "Bacterial small subunit ribosomal RNA", at positions 11 to 355 of the family's 1533-position model. The record is from RNAcentral. Lineage: Eukaryota; Cryptophyceae; Pyrenomonadales; Geminigeraceae.
GUUUGAUCAUGGCUCAGAUUGAACGCUGGCGGCAGGCUUAACACAUGCAAGUCGAGCGGGGAAGGGUAGCUUGCUACCUGACCUAGCGGCGGACGGGUGAGUAAUGCUUAGGAAUCUGCCCAGUAGUGGGGGAUAGCCCGGGGAAACCCGGAUUAAUACCGCAUGAUCUCGCAAGAGCAAAGUGGGGGAUCGCAAGACCUCACGCUUUUAGAGGAACCUACGUCGGAUUAGCUUGUUGGUGAGGUAAUGGCUCACCAAGGCGACGAUCCGUAACUGGUCUGAGAGGAUGAUCAGUCACACCGGAACUGAGACACGGUCCGGACUCCUACGGGAGGCAGCAGU